CACGGGGGUUGCGAGCGUUGUCCGGAAUUACUAGGCGUAAAGGGCAGGCAGGCGGAUCCAUAAGUUUAUCGUUUAAGGCGUCGGCUUAACCGGCGUAGGGCGGUAGAUACUGUGGAUCUGGAAUGCGGCUGGGGAAGACAGAAUUCCUGGUGUAGCGGUGGAAUGCGCAGAGAUCAGGGGGAAUACCGAAGGCGAAGGCAGUCUUCCAAGCCGUUAUUGACGCUCAACUGCGAAGGUGUGGGUAUCAAACAGGAUUAGAUACCCUGGUAGUCCCUGA
RNAcentral lists this ribosomal RNA (277 nucleotides) under uncultured prokaryote. Its description in RNAcentral is "partial 16S ribosomal RNA". It matches the Rfam family "Bacterial small subunit ribosomal RNA", at positions 524 to 800 of the family's 1533-position model. The record is from RNAcentral.